Regulatory RNA element from Nomascus leucogenys (northern white-cheeked gibbon), 46 nucleotides. It matches the Rfam family "Histone 3' UTR stem-loop". From Rfam's summary of the family: The mRNAs of metazoan histone genes lack a poly-A tail. NCBI's taxonomy places the organism in Eukaryota, Metazoa, Chordata, Mammalia, Primates, Hylobatidae. The record is from Rfam.
CCAAAGGCUCUUUUCAGAGCCAACCAUUUUGUCCAUGAAAAAAGCU